Molecule: ribosomal RNA, 253 nt
Filed under: uncultured bacterium
Lineage: Bacteria
Description: partial 16S ribosomal RNA
Rfam family: Bacterial small subunit ribosomal RNA
Source: RNAcentral
UACGUAGGUGGCAAGCGUUGUCCGGAUUUACUGGGCGUAAAGAGCGCGCAGGCGGUCGGAUAAGUCGAAUGUGAAAGCCCCUGGCUCAACCAGGGAGGGUCAUUCGAUACUGUUCGACUCGAAGGCAGGAGAGGGAAGUGGAAUUCCGGGUGUAGUGGUGAAAUGCGUAGAUAUCAGGAGGAACACCGGUGGUGUAGACGGCUUUCUGGACCGUAACUGACGCUGAGGCGCGAAAGCGUGGGGAGCGAUCCGG